AGGGAAGGAGGCCAGUGGUGCGAGGGUUAUCGCACCACCUCAGAUGCCGGAUAAGUCGAAGGACGCAGAAUCGCUUCUGGAUGACGUUUGGAAAGGCUGCAGUGAUUAUUUCAAAGAGAAAAGCCUACCUAUUCUUUCCAAGGUAAACAGUUCAUCUUAUCUGCC
RNAcentral lists this long non-coding RNA (165 nucleotides) under Octodon degus (degu). RNAcentral's name for it is "Rhabdomyosarcoma 2 associated transcript conserved region 8 (ENSODEG00000021625.1)". The stretch from base 1 to 142 matches the Rfam family "Rhabdomyosarcoma 2 associated transcript conserved region 8". Lineage: Eukaryota; Metazoa; Chordata; Mammalia; Rodentia; Octodontidae. The record is from RNAcentral.